AAUUUCACUUGGCUGGUGAGACACUGUGCUUAGGCAGGUGGUUUUUCCAGGGUAAGGUUUACCCCCUGCACUCCAGGUACGCUGACCCCUGUAAUUUUCCCAAAUGUAGGAAACUUAAUUGUAUAAAACCUGUGGUAGUGGGGGAUUGUUUUUGUAUUCUCCCCUU
This 166-nucleotide small nuclear RNA is filed under the name Numida meleagris (helmeted guineafowl). RNAcentral describes it as "U1 spliceosomal RNA (ENSNMEG00000005489.1)". It matches the Rfam family "U1 spliceosomal RNA". From Rfam's summary of the family: U1 is a small nuclear RNA (snRNA) component of the spliceosome (involved in pre-mRNA splicing). Its 5' end forms complementary base pairs with the 5' splice junction, thus defining the 5' donor site of an intron. The record is from RNAcentral. Lineage: Eukaryota; Metazoa; Chordata; Aves; Galliformes; Numididae.